Molecule: ribosomal RNA, 253 nt
Filed under: uncultured bacterium
Lineage: Bacteria
Description: partial 16S ribosomal RNA
Rfam family: Bacterial small subunit ribosomal RNA
Source: RNAcentral
UACGUGGGGUGCAAACGUUGCUCGGAAUUAUUGGGCGUAAAGCGCGCGUAGGCGGUUACUCAAGUCGGGUGUGAAAGCCCUCGGCUUAACUGAGGAAGUGCACCCGAAACUGAGUAGCUAGAGUACUAAAGAGGGUCGCGGAAUUCCCGGUGUAGAGGUGAAAUUCGUAGAUAUCGGGAGGAACACCGGUGGCGAAGGCGGCGACCUGGGUAGAUACUGACGCUGAGGCGCGAAAGCGUGGGGAGCAAACAGG